This 233-nucleotide long non-coding RNA is filed under the name Physcomitrium patens. Its description in RNAcentral is "long non-coding RNA (PPAT_LNC002187)". The record is from RNAcentral. Lineage: Eukaryota; Viridiplantae; Streptophyta; Bryopsida; Funariales; Funariaceae.
CUCCCUCGUCUUGCAUACGUACACAGCCAAAAGACUAUAUUCUCUCCCUUCACUGAUCGACAUUUCUCCUUAAUGGUUCCAAAGUGGAAUUACACAAUCAAACAGUAGUCGACCACAUCAACCCUGUCAGAACGAGACCAUGGAGUGCGCCUCGACUCACUUCGGUAGCGUUAACAGUGGAUCUCAUGUAUCUAAGUACCCAAUGCACCGCCUUCCCUCUAAUUUCAGGGUGA